CACUCCACUGUCAACUGUCUGCAUCAGUUUGCAGAUCACUUUCUGAUCUGCUGGGUUGCUUUUACCCUCCUGGUGGGAGAGGUGCAAAUUAAAGCUAACAACAACCAGCUGCGCCCGCGCACUCAGUCUCAGCAACCACGAGUGAAGACCAACUUUAUUCUGGUGACAUUUACUUUCUUUUCACUGCUUAUUCUGAAAUGUGAAACCCUGGCUGUUUCAAAACUAUUUCGGGACACUGUGAAAAUCAAAAACGCCACCUUGAUUUGCUGUGAGGAGUUCAUGUCUCUCUAUAUAUCAAAGAUCAAAUUCACAGAUCUUUUUGAUGGCCAUGUACGUUUAUGAAGCAUCAUCAAAGCAGUUUCUCUGCAGCAAAGAUGGCUUCAACAUUACCAUACACAAGCAUGCAACAAUGCCCCCCCUGAAUCUGGAUACAGUCUGGAUCCCUUCUGGCCAAAAUCCCAACUGUAAACCCAAGAAAAGAUCAGCUGAUGGCAUCACUUUCAACUUUCUGUUCAGUGACUGUGGCACUCGGUCUAUGUAGCUGAGCGUGGCCAGCCCGUGUAUGUGGAACUGUUUGCAGUCAAACAUGAGAACAGGGACUUGGUUCUGCUGCUGGAGGACAGCUGGGCUACACUGACUGAGGACUCAGAUGGCCCACAAAGAUGGAAACUGCUGCUGGUGACAGCCACAAAACAGUUAUGCUGCAAGUUUCCAGUAGCCUACAGAACUAGGAUGAUCCUCCAUUUACAACUGGUGUAUUUCCACUGCAAUGUAGAGAUCUGUAAGGGGCCAGAGUGCCUGCAGCCUUGCAGUAGUUGGAAAUCGACUUUUAGACCGUUCAUCUUUUGUCUUAUAAAUCUAAAAAUAACACUGAUCUCACACGUUAACAUGUAACACUGUAAACAAAAGAUUGUUUUUCUUUGUUUUGGGGGAGUGCAUAAAUCAGGAAGACCUCCUGGAUCACUAUAUGACAAUCAAAUCAACCAAGGACUGUACAGUUUGUAAUGAAUAUUAAAUUGUACCUCCCAAAAGACGUUUUCCUUAUAAUAUUUAAUCACAUAUUUAAUUCUUCUCCAA
Oreochromis aureus is the source of this 1077-nucleotide long non-coding RNA. NCBI's taxonomy places the organism in Eukaryota, Metazoa, Chordata, Actinopteri, Cichliformes, Cichlidae. The record is from Ensembl.